This 232-nucleotide unclassified non-coding RNA is filed under the name uncultured fungus. RNAcentral's name for it is "sequence contains ITS1". The record is from RNAcentral. Lineage: Eukaryota; Fungi.
GUAUUUCAUUGCGUUAAACGCGACAUACAUUCCAUGAGACUUUGCUACGGUGUGUGUGUAAAGACAUAGAACCACAGCAGGAGGACAGGGCCCCCCAGGCCAUAGAACUACAGAGGGUGCACAGGUGUGAGUGGAUGUGUAAACAGAGCGUGCACAUGCCCCCAUACAGGGGCCAGCAACAACCCUUGUUGACAAUUCGGUAAUGAUCCUUCCGCAGGUUCACCUACGGAAA